GAGUUUGAUCAUGGCUCAGGAUGAACGCUGGCGGCGUGCCUAAUACAUGCAAGUCGAGCGAACAGACGAGGAGCUUGCUCCUCCGACGUUAGCGGCGGACGGGUGAGUAACACGUGGAUAACCUACCUAUAAGACUGGGAUAACUUCGGGAAACCGGAGCUAAUACCGGAUAAUAUAUUGAACCGCAUGGUUCAAUAGUGAAAGACGGUUUUGCUGUCACUUAUAGAUGGAUCCGCGCCGCAUUAGCUAGUUGGUAAGGUAACGGCUUACCAAGGCAACGAUGCGUAGCCGACCUGAGAGGGCGAUCGGCCACACUGGAACUGAGACACGGUCCAGACUCCUACGGGAGGCAGCAGUAGGGAAUCUUCCGCAAUGGGCGAAAGCCUGACGGAGCAACGCCGCGUGAGUGAUGAAGGUCUUCGGAUCGUAAAACUCUGUUAUUAGGGAAGAACAAAUGUGUAAGUAACUAUGCACGUCUUGACGGUACCUAAUCAGAAAGCACGGCUAACUACGUGCCAG
RNAcentral lists this ribosomal RNA (519 nucleotides) under uncultured microorganism. Its description in RNAcentral is "bacterial SSU rRNA". It matches the Rfam family "Bacterial small subunit ribosomal RNA", at positions 9 to 511 of the family's 1533-position model. The record is from RNAcentral.